RNAcentral lists this transfer RNA (67 nucleotides) under Barbichthys laevis (sucker barb). RNAcentral's name for it is "tRNA-Cys". It matches the Rfam family "tRNA". From Rfam's summary of the family: Transfer RNA (tRNA) molecules are approximately 80 nucleotides in length. Their secondary structure includes four short double-helical elements and three loops (D, anti-codon, and T loops). Lineage: Eukaryota; Metazoa; Chordata; Actinopteri; Cypriniformes; Cyprinidae. The record is from RNAcentral.
AGCCCUGUGGUGAAGACCACGUUGGAUUGCAAAUCCAGAGACGUAGAUUAAUACUCUGCCGGGGCUU